This is a long non-coding RNA of Astatotilapia calliptera (eastern happy), 1833 nucleotides long. NCBI's taxonomy places the organism in Eukaryota, Metazoa, Chordata, Actinopteri, Cichliformes, Cichlidae. The record is from Ensembl.
CUCUGUGGUCAUAAAGGGAUGGCAUCAAAGCUCCGGCAGGUUGUGGUGUUUAAAUGAUGCUCAGCUGGUAGUAGAGCCUCUGGCUCUUUUACAGCAGUCAACGUGCUGACGUGAAGCAGACUUUAAAUAAAUGUAACAAGCAGAGGGUUGUUCCUAACAGUAUCUGAGUUAAAUUAUGAUCAUUCAAGUGUUUUUUGUAUUAUACUAAAUCAAUCUUAAAAACAGUCAGUCCCCACAUUUGUGCCACUUUAUAUUUGACCUCAGCUGUUCUGCUUCCUCUCUGUGCCUUAUCUUUAUUUACUCAGGGCAGGUUGGACCUUUGUUCAGUGCUGUUUUUCUCCUAACUGUUACACACCCUGCAGCUCCCAGUACAGUCACUUUAAUUCAGUUUUUUAUCACAGUUUAUGGUUUCUUUUGUGCCAUUUAAUCUGUGUACUGCAUCCUGUGGAUGGAAACUUUGUGUCUUAAUUCCAAUGGGUGGUGCAUUUUUUAUAUCUGAUUACAACAAAAAGUGUGUUCAGUGCACAAGUGAGAUUAAUUUCGCCUUAAGCCUGGAAAUAUUAAUUUCUGUGAGAAAAGAAUCAUCUUACGUAUGAGUUUAGAUUUCAGGGAAAUGCAGCAGACAUGUCUCUCCCAAUAUUACAUGUAUUUGUACUUUCUACCCCCAAAUGACACGAUGAAAGAAGUCAAGGACUACUUCUGAAUUGCAACGUGGUGCUUUAUUUUCAUGAUUAAGAAAUUUCCAUCACAAACCAGUGCAGAAUUCAGCAGAAAUUUAACGUGUCUCCUUCAAUAAUAAUAUGAAACCUGCACCGAUGCGCCUGUGUGUUGACUGUGCAUAACGUCUGUGCAGAUGCUCAGCUUUAUAAGCAUCAACAGGUGACACCAAGUAUUCAAAAGUUUUGCAGGACUGCAAACGAUUAAAAAAAAAACUCUAACCACAGGGCAAAAUAGAUCAUGUGGGUCUGUGGGUGUGCACUCUUAUAAAAUCUAGUUUGCUGACUGUAUAUUAAUGAUUGUACACACACACACCCAUGUAGGUCAUAAAAAAGAAAAUAGUCUGAUAGGAGUUCAGACUCAGCCCCUGCUUCAGGUUCAGCUGCACAUAAAAAGCAGCAGCAGGUGACGUCUGCAUCUGCAGAUCUGGUCUCAGCACUCGGACCUGCAGUUUCUCCUGGUAACGCAGCAAAAUGUACGGACACAACCAAGGCCCACCUGGUUACCCGAACUAUCCUCCGCAGGGGGGUUGCCCUCCGCAGGGGGGUUACCCUCCACAGGGGGGUUACCCUCCACAGGGUUAUCCUCCAGGGACUGUCCCACCAACCUGUCCUCCUCAGCACCAUGGGCCACAUGGAGGACACGGACAUGGGCACGGACCUGGUUCUGGUUGUUGUCAAGGCCAAGGAUCCUGCCAAGGGCACGGGCACGGACAUGGACAUGGACACGGACAUGGACAUGGACAUGGACACAAGGACAAGAAAAAGGACAAGAAAAAGGACAAACAUAAGCACAAGCACGGUCACAAGCAUGGCCACUGUCACAAGAAAGGAAAGGACAGCCACGGGUCUUCCAGCAGCUCCUGCAGCAGCGACUCCGACUAGAUGGAAAAAACCCGGAAACCUUCAUGCUCCUGUCUCAUCAUUUUGAGCUUUGACACAGUUUUGCUUAAAAAAAAAAAAUCAGUCCAGUUUUUGUCAGAAAAUAAUAAUAAUCUAAACUUUGAUAGAUACCAAAUGAAUCAUCUGUCAAGUUACUUUAGAUCAUUGUGAGCUUUAACAAGCAUUAUUUUUAUCCAGUGUUUGUCAGCAAAGAAAUAAAAGUGAUUUCAGUGCA